This 1013-nucleotide small RNA is filed under the name Pan troglodytes (chimpanzee). Its description in RNAcentral is "processed transcript". The record is from RNAcentral. Lineage: Eukaryota; Metazoa; Chordata; Mammalia; Primates; Hominidae.
CAUGGUGAGGACACCUUCAACCGGGCCAAGCUGCUCAACGUGGGCUUCCUAGAGGCGCUGAAGGAGGAUGCCGCCUAUGACUGCUUCAUCUUCAGCGAUGUGGACCUGGUCCCCAUGGAUGACCGCAACCUAUACCGCUGCGGUGACCAACCCCGCCACUUUGCCAUUGCCAUGGACAAGUUUGGCUUCCGGCUGCCCUAUGCUGGCUACUUUGGAGGUGUGUCAGGCCUGAGUAAGGCUCAGUUUCUGAAAAUCAAUGGCUUCCCCAACGAGUACUGGGGCUGGGGUGGCGAGGAUGAUGACAUCUUCAACCGGAUCUCCCUGACUGGGAUGAAGAUCUCACGCCCAGACAUCCGAAUCGGCCGCUACCGCAUGAUCAAGCACGACCGCGACAAGCAUAAUGAACCUAACCCUCAGAGGUGACCCCAGCACCCUCACCCCUUACUCCCCAGAGGCAACUUCCCAAUAUCCCCAACUCUUGACCCCAAGUGGCCCAAUCCCUGACCCCCCAGUGGGGGACCUCCAAGCAUCCUUGACUCCAAAAAGGUGACUCCCAGUGCCACUGAUUCCCUGAUGUGAUCCAAGGCCCCUCAGGACUGCUGGCACCCCUGAUCGUUGUCCCCCAACCCCCAGCCCAGCCUCAGCCCAAUAUCUCUUAUCUCUGGCCUGAUUCCUAGAGGUGACCAGAAUUUAAUGUCAGGGCCUAAAUAGUCAUUGAGUAGAUUGCAUUCCUAUUGGUGCCCUCGAAGACCUCACUUGUGCACCUGUGGAACCCCUGCCGGGGCAGAUAGGACACGAGCUAGUGGGUGCUGGGCACAGCUCCUGUGGACCCGACAAAGGGGACCUGAGCAGUGUGGGAAGGGGGUGUGGGAAGACAGUGCCCACCCCUCUGAAAUUGAAGGAGGUGGGUGUAUCUCUUAGGAGGUAGCCACAUUUGGUAUCAGGCUGGCUGGGAGAAGGGCCUAAAGGGUGUGUGAAAUGUAAACAAGGGCUUCCUGGGCUUCCUGACACUG